Ochlerotatus camptorhynchus is the source of this 210-nucleotide small nucleolar RNA. RefSeq annotates it as small nucleolar RNA U3. NCBI's taxonomy places the organism in Eukaryota, Metazoa, Arthropoda, Insecta, Diptera, Culicidae. The transcript has a single exon. The record is from RefSeq and is a predicted model, not a curated record.
AAGACUGUGCUUCACAGGAUCAUUUCUGUAGGCAAGUUUUCACCACAAGUUUUUUCCGAAAGGAAAAGAUUUCCACCCACGAUGAUGAGACAUUGUGGCCAGUUCGGAGCGUGAAACUUAGUUCGGAUUUCGCUCAAUCGAUUCAUUCGGUAGAGUAACGGACUUCUGAUGAUCGGCUUCCUUGCAAGAACUGGCCACGGUCUGACUGGU